RNAcentral lists this ribosomal RNA (539 nucleotides) under uncultured bacterium. Its description in RNAcentral is "bacterial SSU rRNA". It matches the Rfam family "Bacterial small subunit ribosomal RNA", at positions 8 to 524 of the family's 1533-position model. The record is from RNAcentral.
AGAGUUUGAUUAUGGCUCAGAGCGAACGCUGGCGGCGUACUUAACACAUGCAAGUCGAACGGGGAUCAACGGGUUAGCAAUAAUUCGAUGGUCCUAGUGGCGCACGGGUGAGUAACACGUGGGUGACCUGCCCUUGAGCUCGGGAUACCCCCUCGAAAGGGGGGCUAAUACCGGAUACGUUCCCCGGUUGAAAGAUCGGGGGGGAAAGGUGGCGCAAGCUGCCGCUCUUGGAGGGGCUCGCGGCCUAUCAGCUAGUUGGCGGGGUAACGGCCCACCAAGGCUAUGACGGGUAGCUGGUCUGAGAGGACGACCAGCCACACGGGGACUGAGACACGGCCCCGACUCCUACGGGAGGCAGCAGUGGGGAAUUUUCCGCAAUGGGCGAAAGCCUGACGGAGUGACGCCGCGUGUGGGACGAAGGCCUUCGGGUCGUAAACCACUGUCAGUGGGGAAGAUGGGUGUCGGUGCUAAUACCGCCGGCAUCUGACGGUACCUGCAGAGGAAGCCCCGGCCAACUCUGUGCCAGCAGCCGCGGUAAU